UCAGACACGGUGUAGUGGGAGCACGGCGUCUUUUCGGAAAUGUAGCGAUUGCAAGAGGCAGUCCGGGGUUCGAUUCCCUGUGUCUGAA
Molecule: non-coding RNA, 88 nt
Organism: Mycena vulgaris
Lineage: Eukaryota; Fungi; Basidiomycota; Agaricomycetes; Agaricales; Mycenaceae
Source: the annotation of a GenBank genome assembly